AACGAACGCUGGCGGCAGGCCUAACACAUGCAAGUCGAACGAAGUCUUCGGACUUAGCGGCGCACGGGUGAGUAACACGUGGGAAUAUACCUUACGCUGGGGGAUAACAUCGGGAAACUGAUGCUAAUACCGCAUACGCCCUUCGGGGGAAAGAUUUAUCGGCGAAAGAUUAGCCCGCGUCCGAUUAGCUAGUUGGUGAGGUAAUGGCUCACCAAGGCUCCGAUCGGUAGCUGGUCUGAGAGGAUGACCAGCCACACUGGGACUGAGACACGGCCCAGACUCCUACGGGAGGCAGCAGUGGGGAAUAUUGGACAAUGGGCGCAAGCCUGAUCCAGCCAUGCCGCGUGAGUGAUGAAGGCCUUAGGGUUGUAAAGCUCUUUCACCCACGACGAUGAUGACGGUAGUGGGAGAAGAAGCCCCGGCUAACUUCGUG
This 433-nucleotide ribosomal RNA is filed under the name uncultured bacterium. Its description in RNAcentral is "partial 16S ribosomal RNA". It matches the Rfam family "Bacterial small subunit ribosomal RNA", at positions 29 to 507 of the family's 1533-position model. The record is from RNAcentral.